UCAUCGAUGCGACCUCGAAAUUUGACGUCUUUUCUUUGGGUGGUGUGGUUUCAGUUUCAGAUCGGGCUAUGCCAACUUUCGGUGACGGCGGAUAAAGAGAGGAACAUUGCCCAUGCUCGCGACGCGAUUCGGGAAAUUUUUUUUUCUUUCCGAAAAUGGGCAUCAAGGUAGUUCCACCUCCCUCUUCUUCAUUGUUGAUUGAGUCGUCCGUUGAUUUCGAUAGGGGCUGACGAAGCUACUGGCGGACAAUGCCCCUAAGGCGAUGAGGGAGCAAAAGCUGGAGAGCUACUUCGGCCGGAGGAUCGCCGUCGAUGCCAGCCUGAGCAUCUAUCAGUUCCUCGUUGUGGUUGGGAGGAAGAGGACUCAGAUGCUCACCAAUGAGGCUGGUCAAGUCACCAGUCAUCUGCAAGGCAUGCAUUACCGAACGAUUAGGCUGUUGGAAGCAGGGAUACAGCCAGUGUGACACAACAGCACAAUGAAGACUGCAAAAAACUAUUGAGACUUAUGGGUAUCCCAGUAGUUGAGGUUACUAUUCUGUCUGAGAAGUUCAUUCUUCUUUAUUCGUAACAAAAAUGUUAGAUACCAGAUUCAGUUUAUGUAUGUCAGGCCCCUUCAGAAGCAGAGGCACAAUGUGCUGCUCUUUGAAAAGCUGG
RNA transcript from Syzygium oleosum, 653 nucleotides. It is a transcript of the gene named flap endonuclease 1-like, with no coding region annotated. Lineage: Eukaryota; Viridiplantae; Streptophyta; Magnoliopsida; Myrtales; Myrtaceae. The record is from RefSeq and is a predicted model, not a curated record. The transcript is spliced from 4 exons.